UACAUCGUUGUUGUUGCUACCUUUCCUGA
Molecule: non-coding RNA, 29 nt
Filed under: Mus musculus (house mouse)
Lineage: Eukaryota; Metazoa; Chordata; Mammalia; Rodentia; Muridae
Source: RNAcentral